AGGAAAGCCUUGGCCUCCUUUCUUCACUUUGCAAGCUGGGAGAUUUGGAAGGAGCGAAAUGCACGCGUAUUCAGAACCAAGGCGGCACCGGUGGCGGUGAUCGUGCGAACUAUUAAAGAGGAGGCGUCUAUCUGGGCUCCGGCGGGCGCCAGUCAUUUAUGUAAUUCAAUGCCGUGAGAGUAG
Molecule: ribosomal RNA, 183 nt
Filed under: Triticum aestivum (bread wheat)
Lineage: Eukaryota; Viridiplantae; Streptophyta; Magnoliopsida; Poales; Poaceae
Description: partial small subunit ribosomal RNA
Source: RNAcentral